ACAACAGAGAUGUCAGGCUAGGGCAAGGAGUCCCUGCUGUUCCGGUGAUUAACUAUGUGUGCACCGAGAUCAAGAAAGUAGCUGAUGAGAGCCAGUCUAUUCUGGAGAAGACACCGGUUGGAACUGGCAAUGAUGAUGGUUCACUACGAGCAUUCCUCAAGCGUCAGGCCAAGAAGUUAAGGCGAUUAUCGAACCUUCUCGGU
Long non-coding RNA from Triticum dicoccoides, 203 nucleotides. RefSeq lists it as uncharacterized. The transcript is spliced from 3 exons. The record is from RefSeq and is a predicted model, not a curated record. NCBI's taxonomy places the organism in Eukaryota, Viridiplantae, Streptophyta, Magnoliopsida, Poales, Poaceae.